GGAACUAUCAAGCUAGAGUACAGGAGAGGUAAGUGGAAUUCCUAGUGUAGCGGUGAAAUGCGUAGAUAUUAGGAAGAACACCAGUGGCGGAGGCGACUUACUGGACUGAAACUGACGCUGAGGCUCGAAAGCGUGGGGAGCGAACAGGAUUAGAUACCCUGGUAGUCCACGCCGUAAACGAUGAGUGCUAGGCGUCGGAGGGGAACCUUCGGUGCCGCAGCUAACGCAAUAAGCACUCCACCUGGGGAGUACGAUCGCAAGAUUGAAACUCAAAGGAAUUGACGGGGCCCGCACAAGCGGUGGAGCAUGUGGUUUAAUUCGAAGCAACGCGAAGAACCUUACCAAGGCAUGACAUCCCAAUGACCGGUGUAGAGAUACACCUUCUCUUCGGAGCAUGGUGACAGGUGGUGCAUGGUUGUCGUCAGCUCGUGUCGUGAGAUGUUGGGUUAAGUCCCGCAACGAGCGCACCCUAUCUUCAGUAGCCAUCAUUAAGUUGGCACUCUGAGAGACUGCCGUGGAUAACACGGAGAAGGUGGGAUGACGUCAAAUCAUCAUGCCCUUAUGUCUGGCUACACACGUGCUACAAUGGUUGGUACAAGAGACGCAAGACGUGACGUUAAC
RNAcentral lists this ribosomal RNA (621 nucleotides) under uncultured bacterium. RNAcentral describes it as "bacterial SSU rRNA". It matches the Rfam family "Bacterial small subunit ribosomal RNA", at positions 629 to 1267 of the family's 1533-position model. The record is from RNAcentral.